RNAcentral lists this ribosomal RNA (507 nucleotides) under uncultured fungus. Its description in RNAcentral is "partial 18S ribosomal RNA". The stretch from base 21 to 413 matches the Rfam family "Eukaryotic small subunit ribosomal RNA", at positions 98 to 387 of the family's 1831-position model. The record is from RNAcentral. Lineage: Eukaryota; Fungi.
UNUUUAUAUCUUGNAGCGGCUCAUUAAAUCAUUUAUAAUCUACUUGAUUGUAAAAUCUACAUGGAUAACUGUAGUAAUUCUAGAGCUAAUACAUGCAAAAAAUCCUGACUGUUAUAGAAAGGAUGUAUUUAUUAGGUACAAAAUCAAUGCUGGCACUUGUGUCGGGUUUAUUGAUGAUUCAUAAUAACUAAACGAAGCGCACGACCUUGCGUUGGCGCUGAUACAAACGAGUUUCUGCCCUAUCAACUUUCGAUGGUAGUAUAGAGGACUACCAUGGUUUCNACGGGUAAANGGGAAUCNGGUAUCCGAGGAANGCUUGCACCCCCCUAAUAAACCNAUUGCNGNACGGCUGUUCNUNUUCNUCUUAUGCUUNUNCNCNAUNCUAANUUUCUUCCCUACACGCGUUCACCUGAAAUNCUACUUCCCNAAGGCCUUUGCUACCUCAGGCUUGCCCAUUGNCCUGAACUCCNUGCUGCACCAAUANCGAAAGGAUCUCUUNCGAUNAAA